GGGCCGCUAGCUCAACUGGCAGAGCAGGUGACUCUUAAUCACCAGGUUGGAGGUUCGAGUCCUCCGCGGCUCACCA
RNAcentral lists this transfer RNA (76 nucleotides) under subsurface metagenome. RNAcentral describes it as "tRNA-Lys". It matches the Rfam family "tRNA". From Rfam's summary of the family: Transfer RNA (tRNA) molecules are approximately 80 nucleotides in length. Their secondary structure includes four short double-helical elements and three loops (D, anti-codon, and T loops). The record is from RNAcentral.